Molecule: unclassified non-coding RNA, 2726 nt
Filed under: Hevea brasiliensis (rubber tree)
Lineage: Eukaryota; Viridiplantae; Streptophyta; Magnoliopsida; Malpighiales; Euphorbiaceae
Source: RNAcentral
CUACCGUAGCCGAUAAGCCUUAAGCGAGGGCAAUGAGAGGGGACAAGAGACAUUCCCAACUGGUGUAGGGUGAAUACAAUGGAUACCAAAUAAAAAACGAAAAUUAUAACCUAAAUUGACAAUGGGAUGGAAUUGAAAAUGCAGUUGAGGAUUUUUAUGAUUAAAAUAUUUGCAGAUUUUAGGACUUGAAGUAUGUGCUGAUACCAUGGUGGGCGAUGAAAUGAUACGAGGCAUCUCUGGCGGACAAAAGAAGCGACUCACAACUGGAGAGAUGCUGGUUGGACCAGCAGGAGCACUUUUCAUGGAUGAAAUAUCAACUGGCUUGGACAGUUCAACAACUUUUCAAAUUGUUAACUCACUCAGGCAAUUAAUCCACAUUCUCAGCGGAACUGCGCUUGUCUCUCUUCUCCAGCCAGCACCAGAAACAUAUGAUCUUUUUGAUGAUAUAAUUCUCCUAUCUGAUGGACAAAUCGUGUAUCAAGGUCCACGCGAAAAUGUGCUUGAGUUCUUUGAAUACAUGGGAUUCAAAUGUCCUGAGAGGAAGGGAGUUGCUGACUUCUUACAAGAGGUAACGUCAAUGAAAGACCAAGAGCAGUACUGGGUACAUAAAGAUUUGCCUUACAGCUAUGUUUCUGUGAAGGAAUUUGCUGAAGCAUUUCAAUCAUUUCACGUUGGGAGAAAACUUGGUGAUGAACUUGCUACACCAUUUGACAAGUCCAAUUGCCAUCCUGCUGCUCUAACAACUAAGAAGUACGGUAUCAACAAGAAGGAGCUCCUGAAAGCAUGCUUUUCAAGAGAACUUCUGCUCAUGAAGAGGAACUCAUUUGUCUACAUUUUCAAAAUUACCCAACUUAUUAUUAUGGCUCUCUUAUCAAGUACAGUAUUUCUGAGAUCGGAAUUGCACCGUGACACAUUAACAGAUGGAGGAAUUUAUCUUGGUGCUCUUUUCUUGACUGUUGUCACCAUAAUGUUCAAUGGGUUCACAGAGCUUGCACUGACCAUCAUUAAACUUCCUGUCUUCUACAAGCAAAGAGAUCUUCUAUUUUACCCUUCAUGGGCAUAUGCUCUACCCACAUGGAUUCUCAAAAUUCCAGUCACCUUUGUCGAAGUUGCUAUAUGGGUGAUCAUAACUUACUACGUUAUAGGCUUUGAUCAAAACAUUGAAAGGUUUUUCAAGCAGUACUUGAUACUACUAUUUACAAACCAGAUGGCGUCAGGUCUAUUUCGUUUGAUGGCAGCAUUAGGAAGAAAUAUAAUCGUUGCUAACACUUUUGGAUCGUUUGCAUUACUUGCAAUACUGGUUUUGGGUGGAUUCAUCUUAUCACGAGAUGACGUGAAGAAGUGGUGGUUAUGGGGUUACUGGGUCUCACCUUUGACAUAUGUGCAAAAUGCUAUAUCCGUGAAUGAAUUUCUUGGGAAGACUUGGAGACAUGUUCCUCCCCACUCUACAGAGCCACUAGGAGUUGGUCUCUUGAAGUCUCAUGCAAUUUUCCCUGAAGCAUGUUGGUAUUGGAUUGGAGUAGGAGCUCUAAUUGGAUACAUUUUUCUAUUCAAUUUCCUUUACACUUUAGCCCUAAAAAAUCUUGAUCCAUUUGGGAAGCCUCAGGCAACACUGUCAAAAGAGGCCUUAGCUGAGCAAAAUGCUAAUAGAACCGGAGAGUUUAAUACAUCAUCAACAAGUGGAAAGAGCUCUUUGGAAAGAGGGAAUGAGAGCCAAAGAAGUAUCUCAUGUAUCUCAUCCAGCACACUAUCUGCAAGAAGUAUCUCAUGUAUCUCAUCCAGCACACUAUCUGCAAGAGUGGACAACUUCAGCAAUGCUAAUCAGAGCAGGAAAUGGGGAAUGGUUCUCCCAUUCCAACCCCUUUCUAUGGCUUUCAAUGAAAUAAAAUAUGCUGUAGACAUGCCACAGGAAAUGAAAGCUCAAGGUAUUCCUGAAGAUCGUUUAGAACUUCUUAAGGGUAUCACCGGUGCUUUCAGUCCAGGAGUCCUAACAGCGCUUAUGGGUAUUAGUGGUGCUGGCAAGACAACUCUUAUGGAUGUUUUGGCUGGAAGAAAAACAGAUGGUUAUAUCGAGGGAAGCAUCUUAAUAUCUGGGUACCCAAAGAAGCAAGAAACUUUUGCUCGUAUGUCAGGAUACUGUGAGCAAACAGAUAUUCACUCUCCACAUGUUACAGUCUAUGAGUCAUUGCUUUAUUCUGCUUGGCUUCGACUAUCCCCUGAGGUUAAUUCUCAUACAAGAAAGGUGUUCAUUGAGGAAAUUAUGGAGCUUGUGGAGCUGACCUCUUUAAGAGAAGCACUUGUAGGAUUGCCUGGUGUGAAUGGCCUUUCUAUUGAACAGCGUAAAAGGAUGACAAUUGCAGUUGAGCUUGUAGCUAACCCAUCAAUCAUUUUCAUGGAUGAGCCAACGUCUGGUCUUGAUGCCAGGGCAGCAGCCAUAGUUAUGAGAAUAGUGAGGAAUACUGUAGACACACCAGCCAAGCAUUGAUAUUUUUGAUGCUUUUGAUGAGUUAUUUUUGCUGAAAAGGGGAGGCCAAGAAAUUUAUGUCGGUCCAGUUGGACGACAUGCCUAUCACCUGAUCAGAUAUUUUGAGGAAAUUGAAGGAGUUCCCAGGAUUAAGGAUGGUUAUAAUCCAGCAACCUGGAUGUUGGAAGUUUCUACAGCAGCACAGGAAGCAGCUCUUGGGGUUAACUUCACUGAUAUAUACAAGAACUCAGAACUAUACAGG